RNAcentral lists this ribosomal RNA (1009 nucleotides) under uncultured bacterium. RNAcentral's name for it is "bacterial SSU rRNA". It matches the Rfam family "Bacterial small subunit ribosomal RNA", at positions 48 to 1066 of the family's 1533-position model. The record is from RNAcentral.
CUCAGACAUGCAAGUCGAACGAUUAAGACUUUCUUCGGAGAGUGUAUAAAGUGGCGCACGGGUGAGUAACACGUAAGUAAUCUGCCUUCGAGUGGGGAAUAACGUUCGGAAACGAACGCUAAUACCGCAUAAUGCAGCGGCACCGCAAGGUGACAGUUGUUAAAGGAGCAAUCCGCUUGAAGAGGAGCUUGCGGCAGAUUAGCUAGUUGGUAAGGUAAUGGCUUACCAAGGCUACGAUCUGUAACCGGUCUUAGAGGACGGUCGGUCACACUGACACUGAAUAACGGGUCAGACUCCUACGGGAGGCAGCAGUCGGGAAUUUUGGGCAAUGGGCGAAAGCCUGACCCAGCAACGCCGCGUGAAGGAUGAAGUAUUUCGGUAUGUAAACUUCGAAAGAAUAGGAAGAAUAAAUGACGGUACUAUUUAUAAGGUCCGGCUAACUACGUGCCAGCAGCCGCGGUAAUACGUAGGGACCAAGCGUUGUUCGGAUUUACUGGGCGUAAAGGGCGCGUAGGCGGCUCUGUAAGUCACUUGUGAAAUCUCUGAGCUUAACUCAGGACGGCCAAGUGAUACUGCAGUGCUAGAGUGUAGAAGGGGCAAUCGGAAUUCUUGGUGUAGCGGUGAAAUGCGUAGAUAUCAAGAGGAACACCUGAGGUGAAGACGGGUUGCUGGUCUAACACUGACGCUGAGGCGCGAAAGCCAGGGGAGCAAACGGGAUUAGAUACCCCGGUAGUCCUGGCCCUAAACGAUGAAUACUUGGUGUCUGGAACUCUAAAGUUCUGGGUGCCGUCGCUAACGUUUUAAGUAUUCCGCCUGGGGAGUACGCUCGCAAGAGUGAAACUCAAAGGAAUUGACGGGGACCCGCACAAGCGGUGGAGCAUGUGGUUUAAUUCGACGCAACGCGAAGAACCUUACCUAGGCUAGAAUGUGAGGGAAGUCUGCGUAACAGCAGGCGUCUGGGAAACCAGACCCAAAACAAGGUGCUGCAUGGCUGUCGUCAGCUCGUGUC